GUGAGCUGUGGGUUUCCAUUCACUUUGACCUGAAUGCAGUGUAACACGAUAUGAGUGUAAGACUGGCUUUCUUACAAAAACACCUUACCUGAGCAACAGUGUUAUUUCUAAAGAGAAAACAUGUUCUACACACUACUCAUUGCUGUAAGUACUGGCGAGGUAACAAGGUCAUAAAAAUCAUCAAAAGAAAAAGAUUUAGGGGUUUUAAUGUCACUGUUCUCCAGUGUUUGUUAGGAAAAUAACUGACUCUUUGUAACAGCUCUCUGCCUUUCUGCAGGGAGGUCUGCAGUCCCUGCUAAGGACCACUCACCAAGAACAGACCUGGAGCAACCAUGAUUUCAUCCUCACUCAAGUUCUGUGUAGAAUUACUGCCCUAUCAUCUGUAAAGAUCUCUGAUAGCCUCAACUGUGUAACAUUUCCAGUUUUAUUUACUGGGGUGUUUUGUUGUGUUUUGUUUGUUUGUUGUUUUAUCCUGUUUGUCAGAUGCUAUUUUGCUCUUAGGCAGCUUCUUGUGUCAACUAUUUUACCCUUUUUUUCUGAAUAGCAAAUCUUUUCCAUACAUUUACUUACUGUCACCAUUUAAAAAUCACUUUUCCCAUUUAGUAUCUCAGGGUACAAUACUCAUGCGUGUCAUAAACGACUGCUUAGUCUGGUGUUCACUCAAUACAGUUAAACUAUUUUUCCAAGAGUAGCUAAGGUAUUGUCCUUUCUUCUCCUUUCAUCCUGACAAGAGCUCUUUCUCUCCCCUCCUCUCUGUAUAUUUGCUAUAAUGCAGCUCCAUAUUCUGCUACAAAAAGAUGGGAGUGAAAGAAAACUCUGUGUUUUCUCCCUUGCUUAAGUUCUUCAAGAAAAAGAGUGGGUAGCCACCUGUGAUCAUUCACAAGGUUCUCCUUCACUUGUGGUAACCUUACAAAAAGAAAAGAGGAGAUACACCAAAAUACAGAGGCUUUCAUGGGCAUUAAGAAACAGGUAGUUUCAUCCCAGACUGCUUUUAAAUACAUAGUUUUCUUGUUUUGUUUUCACACCCAUUAGGCCUGAUUGCCUAGAUUCAUAAAGAAAUCUAAUUCUCUGAAGUAUCCUAAGGGUUUGAAAUAUUGAACUUUAUUAAAUUAGACCUAGAAGGAAAGCAGCCAGUAUCACUUCUGAUAGUGGGAUUACUGAGUCAUUAUGUAUUUUGGACAUUUUUGCAUAACUUUCAGCUAUAAAGGAGUCUGUUUAGAGAACAAGUGGUCAAAAGUAUAGAAGAAAUACAGGUCCAAGACAAUGAACAAAGUUUUCACUACUUUGGAAGGCAUUGUACAGCUGCAGUAUGCCACAAUGUCUUUAAAUAUUGUUCUGAUGCAGUCCUUUGCAGUCCCGAGUAAAUGAUGCUACAGGUAAAUGAUGCUAGCUGUAACAGGCAAUCAAAUUACACAUGGGAAAGCUUGAUGCAGAAUGAAUGUAGAUUCCUCAGUCCUGAUGAACUGCAUUUCAGAGGAUGUUUUAAAAACUGGCCCCAAAUCACUCAUAAGUGGUUGUUGUGAUUGUUGGUAAUAUGCAACAGAAUCUCUGAGUCACAAAACAGCUUGAAAAUUAUUAAGAUCUGAGUAUUACUGAUUUCAGCUAUAGACUGUUUAAAUCUGGACUUUGAUUUGAGUUCAGAAGCUGGGAAGUGGCCCAUGUCUCAGCUGCUCACCCUUCCCAAAGUAUCAACUACAAUAUUGAAGAGGUUUUAGUGUGAUUGACAUCCAGUCCUUCACUGCUGUUAAUGUCCAGCAUGUAUAUGUAUUAUCGUAUUAUUAACCUUAACAUCAAAUCACUAUCAAUUUCUGUCUGUGACUGUAGGACAAACUGUAAAAAGAAGUGAUUCAUAUAUCUGUCCUGCUCAGUCACUUCUGAUGACAACUGCCAGGAGAGGGAUGGGAUAGCUGUGGGUUAAAGCUCAACUAUCUCAGCUAAGUUGGCCAGUGACAACAUGCCUAAGCCUUUUUGUUGUAAAUUUAUUCCACCAGAGCUGUAGGUGUUCACGUGUCUUUCUAGAAGCUCUAGUCAAAGAGAUCGGGAGUUCCCAGAUUCCUCUCUGAAGUGGAGCUGCAGAAACCUGUGGAGCUUGGAAGGAACUUGCUGCAAGCACAGCCAUCCCUUCCUAGCAAUGCUUUAGGGUACGGAUCUGUUGCCCUUCUCUGUUUCCACCUUGUAACUAUUGGACAUGAGAAACUCCACAGGAGUAGGAUGAGCUUCUCUGCUCCCAUGAGAUUUUUCACUCACCGCUUUACAAAAUGUGUGCUUAGCUCUGAAGUGUUCCAGACUGAAUUAAUUACUAAGCAACUUUGGUACCACGCUAUGCACUCCUCUCAGUUGUCUUCCCACACAUGAUGAGUACAACCAAGCUUGUAUCCAGCAGCUCUGAAGAAGCUGAAGAAAUAGAGAGUUUCUGUUUCUGCCCAAAGUGACUGGGGCAAUCAAUCCCAACGUGGGCUCAGCUGGAGGCAUUUUCCUUCACCUCUCUACUUCUGCUAUGGCUAUGUGAGAAAGCAAGGGGGUGAUUUUGCACAGGACCGCAGCUGUUUUUCUCCACAAUAAACAAAAAUCAGAGGCUGAAAUGUGAAGUUUUGUG
Long non-coding RNA from Gallus gallus (chicken), 2596 nucleotides. RefSeq lists it as uncharacterized. The transcript is spliced from 3 exons. Lineage: Eukaryota; Metazoa; Chordata; Aves; Galliformes; Phasianidae. The record is from RefSeq and is a predicted model, not a curated record.